Molecule: transfer RNA, 77 nt
Filed under: Planctomycetota bacterium
Lineage: Bacteria; Pseudomonadati; Planctomycetota
Description: tRNA-Arg
Rfam family: tRNA
About the family: Transfer RNA (tRNA) molecules are approximately 80 nucleotides in length. Their secondary structure includes four short double-helical elements and three loops (D, anti-codon, and T loops).
Source: RNAcentral
ACACCGGUAGCUCAAUUGGAUAGAGCGACAGACUACGGAUCUGUAGGUUAGGGGUUCGACUCCUCUCCGGUGUGCCA